GUCUGGCUGUCGGUCAGGGUUCAUAUACUUUCGACUUUAUGUUCCAAAUUAAUUGACCAAACCUAACUUUUACAUUUGUCAGUUUCUAAGGUACUGUGAGGAUCGGAACACAUAUAAUUGGUGUACGGUGUUUGUAGAGAUCUGUAUGGCAUGGUUCAUCUGACCUUGACCUCUUUUUAUGAACCAUUGACAAUCUUAAGCGUAUUUGACAAUUCUAAUAAAACCCUUUAUAUUACAGACGUUGAACAAAUCUACUAUCAUAAGUUAAGCAGACGAGACAUGUCAGCAUUUGCGCUCUGGUAUUCUUUAGUCUGUAGUAUAUAGCUGUCUCAUUGGAAAUC
This 341-nucleotide long non-coding RNA is filed under the name Mytilus galloprovincialis (Mediterranean mussel). The record is from RNAcentral. Lineage: Eukaryota; Metazoa; Mollusca; Bivalvia; Mytilida; Mytilidae.